Molecule: ribosomal RNA, 549 nt
Filed under: uncultured bacterium
Lineage: Bacteria
Description: partial 16S ribosomal RNA
Source: RNAcentral
UAAUCUUGCGACCGUACUCCCCAGGCGGUCUACUUAGUGCGUUAGCUGCGCUACUCACAGUACAAGACCACGAACAGCUAGUAGACAUCGUUUACGGCGUGGACUACCAGGGUAUCUAAUCCUGUUUGCUCCCCACGCUUUCGUGCAUGAGCGUCAGUACAGGUCCAGGGGAUUGCCUUCGCCAUCGGUGUUCCUCCGCAUAUCUACACAUUUCACUGCUACACGCGGAAUUCCAUCCCCCUCUACCGUACUCUAGCUAUGCAGUCACAAAUGCAGGUCCCAGGUUGAGCCCGGGGAUUUCACAUCUGUCUUACAUAACCGCCUGCGCACGCUUUACGCCCAGUAAUUCCAAUUAACGCUCGCACCCUACGUAUUACCGCGGCUGCUGGCACGUAGUUAGCCGGUGCUUAUUCUUACGGUACCGUCAUUAGCUCCCUUUAUUAAAAAGAGCCGUUUCGUUCCGUACAAAAGCAUUUUACAACCCGAAGGCCUUCAUCCUGCACGCGGCAUUGCUGGAUCAGGCUUGCGCCCAUUGUCCAAAAUUCCCCA